AAUGAAUUGACGGGGCCCGCACAAGCGGUGGAGCAUGUGGUUUAAUUCGAUGCAACGCGAAGAACCUUACCUGGGCUUGACAUCCCUGGAAUCCCCUGGAAACAGGGGAGUGCCCUUCGGGGAGCCAGGAGACAGGUGCUGCAUGGCUGUCGUCAGCUCGUGUCGUGAGAUGUUGGGUUAAGUCCCGCAACGAGCGCAACCCUUGUCUUUAAUUGCCAUCAUUCAGUUGGGCACUUUAAAGAGACUGCCGGUGUUAAACCGGAGGAAGGCGGGGAUGACGUCAAGUCCUCAUGGCCCUUACAUCCCGGGCUACACACGUGCUACAAUGGCAGGUGCAGAGGGCUGCGAAGCCGCGAGGUGGAGCGAAUCCCAGAAAACCUGUCUCAGUCCGGAUUGAAGUCUGCAACUCGACUUCAUGAAGGCGGAAUCGCUAGUAACCGCGAAUCAGCAGGUCGCGGUGAAUACGUUCCCGGGCCUU
This 478-nucleotide ribosomal RNA is filed under the name uncultured Syntrophus sp. Its description in RNAcentral is "bacterial SSU rRNA". It matches the Rfam family "Bacterial small subunit ribosomal RNA", at positions 904 to 1382 of the family's 1533-position model. Lineage: Bacteria; Pseudomonadati; Thermodesulfobacteriota; Syntrophia; Syntrophales; Syntrophaceae. The record is from RNAcentral.